This 460-nucleotide ribosomal RNA is filed under the name uncultured bacterium. Its description in RNAcentral is "partial 16S ribosomal RNA". It matches the Rfam family "Bacterial small subunit ribosomal RNA", at positions 338 to 795 of the family's 1533-position model. The record is from RNAcentral.
CCUACGGGAGGCAGCAGUGAGGAAUAUUGGUCAAUGGACGGAAGGCUGAACCAGCCAAGUAGCGUGAGGGAAGACGGCCCUAUGGGUUGUAAACCUCUUUUAUGCGGGGAUAAAGGCGGCCACGUGUGGAUGUUUGCAGGUACCGGAUGAAUAAGGAUCGGCUAAUUCCGUGCCAGCAGCCGCGGUAAUACGGAGGGUCCGGGCGUUAUCCGGAUUUAUUGGGUUUAAAGGGAGCGUAGGCGGUUCUUUAAGUUAGCCGUGAAAUCUUGUGGCUCAACCAUGGGCGUGCGGCGGAAACUGGAGAGCUUGAGUGCGCGGGAGGCAGGCGGAAUGCGUGGUGUAGCGGUGAAAUGCUUAGAUAUCACGAAGAACCCCGAUUGCGAAGGCAGCCUGCCGGCGCCUUACUGACGCUGAGGCACGAAAGCGCGGGUAUCGAACAGGAUUAGAUACCCCUGUAGUC